CUGGGUGAACUCUCUUCCCUCAUGCAGAGUGUGGAGGCAAAUUCCUCUCUGAAUUCCUAGUGAGUGCAGUCCAAGUGCUGGAGGGUGAGGAUGAGAAGCUGGGUUAGAAUCUGGAGGAGGGGACAACUUAUCCCAGCCAGCAAAGGCAAUGGGAAACAGGCAGAACCUGUAGCCCAGUUCAUCUCUGUGGUCACCUGCAUGGCACCAGGAAAACAGGACUCUGAACCCCAGUAUGCAGUGUGACAUAUACUCUACUAGGAGGUCAAAAAUUGAUGUUGAAUUAAUGAGAGAAGGAAUUAUUCAUCUGGACUUUUUUGCAAAGACAAUUAACCUGGGAAGAAAGUCUCAGACAAGCCCUUCCUUUUUCUGAGCAAAUUCUUUAUUGUUUUCUAAUUUUUCCUUUGGUGCUUUUUGUCCCCUAGACUUUGGCUUCUUUAUUUCCAUUAAACCCCAGAGUUUGGAAAAGCAGACCCUCAGACUCCACAGCAGAGCUCCAGAAUGCUGCCCCAGGUUGGACUGGAUGCACUUUCUUUGCCAAAGCUUCUGUGGUGGUCCUGAUGCACUCCCGUGGUCAAGGGUCACCCACCUGAAGACCUGCACCCCUCCACAUCCGCUGAGCAUGAAUCUCCAUGAGAGCAGGACUCCACUGAAGCAGAAAUCCAGAGCCAAGAAAGACACAGGGUUUCCGGGGAUGGCAUUAGCCCAGGGCCCUGUUCAUUGUUUUGUGGAUGUGGAAACCAAAGCCAGAAGGACAGGUGACUUGCUCAGGGGCAUCCCCUCCAGGAGAUCACAUGGCACCUGUACCUUCUUGCAGAAUCCUGUGCAAAGGAAGUCAGCCCUGAUGGGGUAAGAUUCUAAAGAUGUUAUAGAUUAAGCUGGGUUUUCCCUGGUAUCCAUGGAAUUGCAGAAUUUUUAAACUGAAGGGACUUCAGGAAGAAGGACAACUGGGAAAAAGGAGUCACCUAUACUGUACCACCCACCCCCCUGAGAGAUUUAUUUCACUUAAUCUUCGGAUUAAAUGAAGCAUUAUUAUUUCAUGUUUCCAAUGAGAGAAUGACGACUCAGGUGAUGAAGGUAAAUUCCCCCAAGAUCAUAUAACGUGUAAGUUGCAGAACUAGGACUCAAACUCACAAUCUUCUGGCUUCAAGUCACCACUCCCUGAGAGGAAUCUAGAGACAGUCUAUCUACCAGGUUCAUUUUCUUCACUUGUUAGGUGAACAAAUGUGGUCUGCAGAGCUCAAUGGCUUCACCAAGGUCAAGAGUGAGUGAAUGGCAUGGCUGGGGCUGCUCUGGUCCAUGUGUUUUCCAUGCCAGAGGGUGGCCUCCUGGAGUUCUUUGGUGAUGCCUCUAGCUCUGGGUGACACCAGGCUGGUGGAGGCAGAUCAUAUGGACCAGGGAUGGAGACCCUCAUGCCACUGCUCCCUCUUCAUGGCAUCCCAAGCUCCAGGAGUCCCUUUGGAUCAGACCAAACCACAGUCACCUUCCAGAAGGAGCCACUGGGGUGGCCAUCAAAGGCUGGGGACACACAAGCUUGGGGCAGUGGUCCAGGGGUAGAGGCCUCCAGUCUUAGGACCUUCCCCUCCUCAUGGCCCCUGGGUCUCUCUUCUUACUUUGGGGUGCUGGCUUUUCCUUUGCUGGUUAGAACUGUGGUCCAUGGAUUUCACUCAGGGCCACCCCAAGGGAGGAGUGAUGAGGGUGACCCAGUUCCUCAUUGCCGGCCUCUCCACCCUCCACUGCCUGCCUUGCUCCGUAACAUUUCUGUGAGCUUCCAGCACACACCAGCAGCGAGCCCAUCUUCUGAUUAGUUUCAGCCUGGUAAGUCCUUCCUGCCGCUGAACCACCUGUCUCCCGAGAGGACCUACAGCCAACGCCUCCCACACCAGAUGGCCACCCCCUCCUGCCCCUCCGUAGUGUUCCAGCCAAGGCCAGGCCCGGCAUGGACAGAAGAGGACCUGAGUGGCUGCGGCCAAGGUCAAAGUGGCCAUCUGGACACAGGUAUCAGCAGUGUGGAGGGGCUGCCCCAGAAAUGACUUUAGCGGGGGAGAUGUUUCUCAGGCAUUCAGCUCUUGGUUUUCUAUUGGUCUCCCUUCAAAAUUGCCCCAGCAGGUAGGCAGAGCACCUGAUGGAUGCCUUCAGCAGCACCUCCUUGGUCAGGGUGAGUCUUCCCUCAGUAACCCCUGCGGGAAAAUAAUCCUAUUUCUUUUUCAGCUAGAAGCUUGAGCACCGGGGACCCCGACUCUGCUUAUUCAAGGCCCAUGAGGCAUGAUACUCAAGUUCACGGUCAGCAAACUCCCUGUUCAAACCACAGCUCCUCUUCCCCAGAUUCUACCUGCCCCCAUUCUGAGUUCUGAAUUGUUUCCAGUGCCAUCAUACCUAAAGACUUCCUUUUAGCUAUUCGACUUGCCCUCCCAUGGUGGGUCAGUCAAAUUAAAAUGUGGGGUACAUUAUUGUACGAAAUGUUUACAAAAUAGAAAACCGAAGAAGAAACUAUGCUUUGUUUUCUGAACAGUUUGAAACCUAAACAGAUUUCUUUUCAAUUCUCUUAUUUUUCUAUGUGUACACAAGAAGGCCAUUGAGAUGGCCUUGCAAGAAGCUUUAGACCAGACCCUCUCCCUUCAGGUCCUGUUGGUGGUUAUAUAUUCUGAAUUUUUUUCUUAAAAAAACAAAAAGCCAGAAAAACCCCACUGCAUUCUGUGUUUCCAAGCCAUCACAACCCAUUUCUUAUUCUAAGCAAGUGAACAAACAUUUGUCUUCAAGGCCAAGAUGUCAGUGUUUUAAAAAAAGUGUUUUAGAAAAGAAAAUGCAAACCCAUAACUCCAAGCCUAGGCAAGGACAGCUACAUGCGUUAGCUAAUGCAUAAUUGCAGACUAUUCCCUGCUUUUUCCUUAUGCUUUUAUUACCCCCAAAAGGAGCUCCAAGUGAAAUAUUAAUAAUAUUACUACUGUAAUAUUAUUACACAUUAUUACCUCCGCAAUGGUAGCUGCAGAAGGGCAGCUUUGUUUUCAUUCCAAUGUGACCUACAUUGGAUUCAUUUUUCCAAAAUGGCACCAGAAAUGUCUUAUCCAUUUCCUCAGUAACUGGUGAAAUAGAACAAAUAAGACUGAUCAUUUUCUUCUAUGAGAGAUACAUUUGAGUAAAGCAAUCUUGUGCCUAUGGGGGAUGGUGGGGGAAAUUGGCAUAAGUGAAUUAAAUGUUGGACUUGCAGUUCUAUUGGACUUCAGACAAACAUCUAUGCUGAUUGAACACUGAUUUGCUGGCAUUCCUCAAAUCACAGUUCUGCCAUCUCAGCAUCCCAACUCUUGCAAUCUUUUCCAUGUGCUUCUUUAUGGAUGGGCAAAUCACCUGACCGUAGCUGCCUGGAACCAAGCUGGCAUUGCAGUUUUGCCAUUCUUAUUCAGUGUCAUCUGAUGCCUGCCGUCACUUGCCAGCCUCAUUUACGCAUUGCCAGUUCUGGGGGGGGGAAUCAAAUCUAAUUUGAGCACUAUUUUAUCUGCUUAUUUUACCCACAGAUGUGAGUCCAUUUUUCUGUAGAUUAUAUAAGUAUUUAAGCUUUCAUUCCAACUGUUUGUCAGCACUUACUACAACAGACAACCAACUAGACAACCCCCACAGUGCCAGAAAUACCUUUGCGUGAACCUUAUUAUCAAAAAUAGAAUGCAAUCAAGACCAGUGGAGGUUACAGUAAAGUCACCAAAAAUGACUCAAACGUCCCUCUGAGCUAGCUCCUAUGUUCUGAAAAUAUGUGGUGGGUGGAACGAGUCUUUUAUAUUCCCAGAUUUGGCUCCUCCAAGUGAAAUAUUAAUAUUAUUACUGUUGCAUUUGGCAAUAUGAAGAAGCUUCCAGUAAUAAGCUGAACAGACAAAGACAUCUGUAUUCACUGCAGGUUUUCAGAACCACAAUUUAUGUGGUCAUGUAGGUGUGAGUCCCCGGGCACAUAAGUUGAUCAGGGAGUUACUGAAACCCUUGAGGAUAACUCAUUCACUCAAAGGAAGAAUCACUGGGGAAAGUGAAUAAAGCACUAUGUCAGCAAAACGUUGCUACUGUGAAUCAGGACUCAGUUACUCUUUCUGGCUGGAUGAUCUCAGAUGCAAAUGACUUAAUGUGGGUAUCCAGGAAGUCAAUGGGUAGAAAUAUGACAUUUCAUAGGUGUAAAGCCUAUGUCUCUGACUGCACGCAAUUUUAGUCUGAUGAAUGCCUAUGGUUUUCUGGUGGGCUUUGUGAAGUGGGUUGCCUUGUGGUAUUGGAGCUUAUGCUCCGCAAGGGUUUCAAGAACUUCCUGAUCACUGGAAGCUUCUUCAUAUUGUCAAAUGCAACAGUAGUAGUAGUAUUAAUACUUCAUUUGGAGGAGCCAAAAUUGGGAACAUAGAAGGCUCAUUUCACCCACCACACACUUUUAAAACGUAUGAGCUAGCUCAGAGGGACAUUUGGGUAAUUUUUGGUGACUUUACUGUAACCUCCGCUGCUCUUGAUUGCAUUCUAUUUUCGAUAAUGAGGUCCGUGCAAAGGUAUUUCUGGCACCAUGGGAUUGUCUGUUUGGUUGUCUGUUGCAGUAAGUGCUGACAGACAGCAAGAUGGGAAAGUGAUGAUUGCAGUGGCCUGUUCCGCAGGGAGACCAAGAGGAAGACUGAUUAAAGACCAACAGAGCGAGGAGCAGUGUGGGAGCAGCCCCUGCCCAAUGGGCUUUGGUGGCCUAGAGCCAUGAGAAGGUCCCUGCACCUCACCCUGCCACAAUAGUGACCUUUAGGAAAUUUAAGUUGCCCUGAACCCCAUGCGCCCAGCUUGCCACAUCCAAAAGUUAAGUACAUAAGCUGAAGUUUGUGGUUCAGGUCUAAAACAGAGGCAGAAACAGUGGGGGUGGGGGGGGCAGUGAGGGUUGACUUUAAAACCUGAAGGGCCCUAGAAGGAGAGGGUUCUGGUGGGCAGAGGGCAUGCAGGGGAACAGGACUGCCACCUCUCCACUCUGCAUAACCCCAGGAAGCCUGGAAAAUGGAGGCUCUUUGCGUAGAACCAUCCUGGGUUCUCUCCAUCCUCUUUAUCACAUAAGUCAGCAAGAUGAAUGAAGCAAGAAACCUCUGUGCUCCUCAGAUGAAGCUUCUAUCUGCUGAUGGCAUUGUUAUUCUCAUCUAUGGCUGAGAUGUCUGGGUGAGGGAAUUUCUUCUGGAUAAGAAGACGUCCUUCUUUUAGGGCCAUUUGGGGUUUGUGUAGAGGUAAUCCACUAAACAGAAUUCUGGGCUCAGGAAUGGGUUUCCCACCCAUUAAAUGCUUAAAUCUUGAGGUUUGCUGGCUCCUGAUGGCCGGCUCCUUCCAUCUCUCUGGCUCCUAGGCCUGCUACUGGAGCUCUGGAGGACAGCACUGUCUCCCUACAGCAAGGGUUGGCAAUCUUCUUCUGGAAAGGGCCAGAUAGCAAAUAUUUUCAGCUUUGCGGGCCAAUGUUUGUAGCACCUACUCGAAUCUGCUGUUAUUGUGUGAAAGUGGCCACAGACAACACACGAACGAGUGGACGGAGGGUAUUAGUUUGCUGACUUCUGGCCCAGGUGAUGUUGGUUAGUCAACUGGGUCAGGCAAUAAAUCCUCCAUUUAUUUAA
This is a non-coding RNA of Macaca mulatta (Rhesus monkey), 5585 nucleotides long. The record is from RefSeq and is a predicted model, not a curated record. Lineage: Eukaryota; Metazoa; Chordata; Mammalia; Primates; Cercopithecidae.